Molecule: ribosomal RNA, 214 nt
Filed under: Clostridioides sp. ZZV14-6104
Lineage: Bacteria; Bacillati; Bacillota; Clostridia; Peptostreptococcales; Peptostreptococcaceae
Description: partial 23S ribosomal RNA
Rfam family: Bacterial large subunit ribosomal RNA
Source: RNAcentral
UAGCCCAAACCAAUAAAGUUUUCUUUAUUGGGGUUGCGGACAUAUCUUAAACGAAGAGGUAUCGUAAUUGAAGAGGUUUGGAAAGACCCACCACAGAAGGUAAUAGUCCUGUAUGUCAAACGAGAAAACUUCAGAUAUGAUCCAGAGUACCACGGGACACGUGAAACCCUGUGGGAAGCAGGAGGGACCACCCUCCAAGGCUAAAUACUACCUA